RNAcentral lists this unclassified non-coding RNA (260 nucleotides) under uncultured Lactarius. RNAcentral's name for it is "sequence contains ITS2". Lineage: Eukaryota; Fungi; Basidiomycota; Agaricomycetes; Russulales; Russulaceae. The record is from RNAcentral.
AAACCUCAACCUCCUUGGUUUCUUCUGGAGACCAAAGGAGGCUUGGACUUUGGAGGCCUUUGCUGGCGUCUCUCGCCAGCUCCUCUCAAAUGAAUUAGCGGGGUCCUCUUUGCCGAUCCUUGACAUGUGAUAAGAUGCUUCCGUGUCUAGGUUUCUGGCUCUGUUGCUUUUGGGACCCGCUUCUAGCCGUCUGGACCCUUGCGUCGAGACAACGUUCGAGCUCGUCUCCCUUCUCGGGAAACCCUCUCGACCCCACGAAC